UAUUGGACAAUGGGCGAAAGCCUGAACCAGCCAUGCCGCGUGUGUGAAGAAGGUCAUCGGAAUAUAACAAACUUUAAUUUGAGAGGAAGGGCAGUUAACGAAUACUUAACUGUAUUGACGUUACCAAAAGAAUAAGCACCGGCUAACUUCCAGCCAGCAGCCGCGGUAAUACGAAGGGAGCAAGCGUUAAUCGGAAUUACUGGGCGUAAAGCGCGCGUAGGUGGUUCGUUAAGUUGGAAGUGAAAGCCCCGGGCUCAACCUGGGAAUUGCUUUCAAAACUGGCGAGCUAGAGUACGGUAGAGGGUGGUGGAAUUUCCUGUGUAGCGGUGAAAUGCGUAGAUAUAGGAAGAAACAUCAGUGGCGAAGGCGACCACCUGGACUGAUACUGACACUGAGGUGCGAAAGCGUGGGGAGCAAACAGG
This 422-nucleotide ribosomal RNA is filed under the name uncultured bacterium. Its description in RNAcentral is "partial 16S ribosomal RNA". It matches the Rfam family "Bacterial small subunit ribosomal RNA", at positions 362 to 776 of the family's 1533-position model. The record is from RNAcentral.